GUCAUAAUUAUUCUUGAGUCUCUUCCAGAAGAGUUUGAACAAUUUAAGGUCAACUAUAACUCUCUAAAGGAAAAAUGGCCACUCUCUAAGAUGACCGCAAGGAUCGUCCAGGAGGAAGAGAGGAUCAUGAGGCAGAAGAAAGACCAUGUUUUUCAUGUUGGCUCUAACAAGAGAAAGCAUGAUGGGCAAGGUUUUCCCAAGCCUCAGAAAAAGCAAGUCAAGAAAGAAGGCACUAAGCCAUUCAACCCUAAGGCAUUCAAGGGUAAAGAAGCCGGCAGUUCUUCUUCUGCUCCUAGCAGCUCCACUGCUGGAGAAAAUGCUUGUAACUUCUGCAAAGAGGAGGGACACUAUCAAAGGGACUGCCCAGGCUUUCUAAAAUGGAUGAAGAAAAGAGGGAUUCGAUACGAUCCAAACUAUAAG
RNAcentral lists this ribosomal RNA (420 nucleotides) under Triticum aestivum (bread wheat). RNAcentral's name for it is "partial small subunit ribosomal RNA". Lineage: Eukaryota; Viridiplantae; Streptophyta; Magnoliopsida; Poales; Poaceae. The record is from RNAcentral.